This 460-nucleotide ribosomal RNA is filed under the name uncultured bacterium. RNAcentral describes it as "partial 16S ribosomal RNA". It matches the Rfam family "Bacterial small subunit ribosomal RNA", at positions 338 to 795 of the family's 1533-position model. The record is from RNAcentral.
CCUACGGGAGGCAGCAGUGAGGAAUAUUGGUCAAUGGCCGUAAGGCUGAACCAGCCAAGUCGCGUGAAGGAAGAAGGAUCUAUGGUUUGUAAACUUCUUUUAUAGGGGAAUAAAGGUAUCCACGUGUGGAUAUUUGCAUGUACCCUAUGAAUAAGCAUCGGCUAACUCCGUGCCAGCAGCCGCGGUAAUACGGAGGAUGCGAGCGUUAUCCGGAUUUAUUGGGUUUAAAGGGUGCGUAGGUUGUUUUUUAAGUCAGCGGUGAAAGUUUGUGGCUCAACCAUAAAAUUGCCGUUGAAACUGGAAGACGUGAGUGUGUUUGAGGUAGGCGGAAUGCGUGGUGGAGCGGUGAAAUGCAUAGAUAUCACGCAGAACUCCGAUUGCGAAGGCAGCUUACUAAGCCAUAACUGACACUGAAGCACGAAAGCGUGGGGAUCAAACAGGAUUAGAUACCCCUGUAGUC